Molecule: ribosomal RNA, 402 nt
Filed under: bacterium
Lineage: Bacteria
Description: partial 16S ribosomal RNA
Rfam family: Bacterial small subunit ribosomal RNA
Source: RNAcentral
UGGGGAAUUUUGCACAAUGGGGGAAACCCUGAUGCAGCGACGCCGCGUGAUUUAGAAGGCCUUCGGGUUGUAAAAAUCUUUUCUAUGGGAAGAAAAUGACAGUACCAUAGGAAUAAGGACCGGCUAAUUACGUGCCAGCAGCCGCGGUAAUACGUAAGGUCCGAGCGUUGUCCGGAAUCAUUGGGCGUAAAGGGUACGUAGGCGGGUAAGCAAGUUAGAAGUGAAAUCCUAUAGCUCAACUAUAGUAAGCUUUUAAAACUGCUCACCUUGAGGUAUGGAAGGGAAAGUGGAAUUCCUAGUGUAGCGGUGAAAUGCGCAGAUAUUAGGAGGAAUACCGGUGGCGAAGGCGACUUUCUGGCCAUAACCUGACGCUGAGGUACGAAAGCGUGGGUAGCAAACAGG